This 469-nucleotide ribosomal RNA is filed under the name uncultured bacterium. Its description in RNAcentral is "partial 16S ribosomal RNA". It matches the Rfam family "Bacterial small subunit ribosomal RNA", at positions 28 to 507 of the family's 1533-position model. The record is from RNAcentral.
GAUGAACGCUGGCGGCGUGCUUAACACAUGCAAGUCGAACGGUGAAGCUCCAGCUUGCUGGAGUGGAUCAGUGGCGAACGGGUGAGUAACACGUGAGCAACCUGCCCCUGACUCUGGGAUAACAGCCGGAAACGGCUGCUAAUACCGGAUAUGCACCAUGAACGCAUGUUCUGUGGUGGGAAAGAUUUUUCGGUUGGGGAUGGGCUCGCGGCCUAUCAGCUUGUUGGUGAGGUAAUGGCUCACCAAGGCGUCGACGGGUAGCCGGCCUGAGAGGGUGACCGGCCACACUGGGACUGAGACACGGCCCAGACUCCUACGGGGGGCAGCAGUGGGGAAUAUUGCACAAUGGGCGAAAGCCUGAUGCAGCAACGCCGCGUGAGGGAUGACGGCCUUCGGGUUGUAAACCUCUUUUAGCAGGGAAGAAGCGAGAGUGACGGUACCUGCAGAAAAAGCGCCGGCUAACUACGUG